UACAGAGGGUGCGAGCGUUAAUCGGAAUUACUGGGCGUAAAGCGCACGUAGGCGGCUUGGUAUGUCGGGUGUGAAAUCCCCGGGCUCAACCUGGGAACUGCAUCUGUGACUGCAUCGCUGGAGUGCGGCAGAGGGGGAUGGAAUUCCGCGUGUAGCAGUGAAAUGCGUAGAUAUGCGGAGGAACACCGAUGGCGAAGGCAAUCCCCUGGGCCUGCACUGACGCUCAUGCACGAAAGCGUGGGGAGCAAACAGG
Molecule: ribosomal RNA, 253 nt
Filed under: uncultured bacterium
Lineage: Bacteria
Description: partial 16S ribosomal RNA
Rfam family: Bacterial small subunit ribosomal RNA
Source: RNAcentral